Molecule: unclassified non-coding RNA, 27 nt
Filed under: Mus musculus (house mouse)
Lineage: Eukaryota; Metazoa; Chordata; Mammalia; Rodentia; Muridae
Description: oocyte_clustered_small_RNA12673
Source: RNAcentral
UGAUUUGAGCCCCUAGUAUUGCCUACC